GCUUUCAACAUCCCCGUCUCAGAGGCGAAUUGACGGUAUCGGCACCAGGCCGAUGGCAGACGACCUCAUGAGACUGAAGGC
Molecule: small RNA, 81 nt
Filed under: unclassified sequences
Description: NAD+-I sequence
Rfam family: nadA riboswitch
Source: Rfam by way of RNAcentral